GUGGCUGUAGCUCAGUUGGUUAGAGCGCCGCACUGUGACUGCGGAGGCCGGGGGUUCAAAUCCCCUCAGCCACCCCA
Molecule: transfer RNA, 77 nt
Filed under: Rhodospirillaceae bacterium
Lineage: Bacteria; Pseudomonadati; Pseudomonadota; Alphaproteobacteria; Rhodospirillales; Rhodospirillaceae
Description: tRNA-His
Rfam family: tRNA
About the family: Transfer RNA (tRNA) molecules are approximately 80 nucleotides in length. Their secondary structure includes four short double-helical elements and three loops (D, anti-codon, and T loops). Further hydrogen bonds mediate the characteristic L-shaped molecular structure. tRNAs have two regions of fundamental functional importance: the anti-codon, which is responsible for specific mRNA codon recognition, and the 3' end, to which the tRNAs corresponding amino acid is attached (by aminoacyl-tRNA synthetases). tRNAs cope with the degeneracy of the genetic code in two manners: having more than one tRNA (with a specific anti-codon) for a particular amino acid; and 'wobble' base-pairing, i.e. permitting non-standard base-pairing at the 3rd anti-codon position.
Source: RNAcentral